Molecule: long non-coding RNA, 1138 nt
Organism: Brienomyrus brachyistius
Lineage: Eukaryota; Metazoa; Chordata; Actinopteri; Osteoglossiformes; Mormyridae
Exons: 3
Source: RefSeq, a predicted model, not a curated record
AUCAGAAGAUUCCAGGAACACUACAUGAACUCCAGAAUUCCCUGCUUGGUGGUGGCCUCCAAGUCGGACCUCCCUGAGAACACGCAGCAGGGAAUUUCACCCUCAGAAUUCUGCUACAGGCACCGGCUGCCCCCUCCUCUGCCGUUCUCCUGUAUUGUCCAGGACUCGCUGAACGUGCCGGUCUACUCCAAGCUGGCCUGGGCUGCCAUGUUCCCACAUCUCAACGGCUCUGACAUGACAAGCACCUCGUUCUGGCUGAGAGUGACACUAGGAGCAGCUGUUCUUUCAGUCCUGGGCAUCACCCUCUACAGAGCUUUCAUCAAGCAUAAAUAAAACGCCGCGUGAAGUCGAGCGCUGCUUCUCAGGAGCGGACGUAGCAAAGCAAGGCGGCAGCUUCCCAGAAGGAGUGGUCUUCAAAGCCAGCCCUAGUUCACAUCUGCUGUCUGCUUUGACCUUACAGUAGAAAGCUGGAAAUACUAGGCAACCUUUAGCGGAAAGGUAUCGCAUGGGUUUUUACAGACAUUACCAUGAGGCAGAAUAAGGAAGAAAUGCAUUCAUAUUUGAUUAUCGCCUCCGGUCACAGACGCAUGGUUCGCUGACCUGUAGAGCUUCCAGUUGGUUUUUUCUUCACUUCACGGUACACAAACUGGAAGCAAUAUUCAUGCCAUGAAGUCCAUUGUCGUGAUGAUAAAGAAUGUUGAAUUGUGUGUUGGGAUAUGUACAGAAGUGAUCUGUUUUACUCAGCAUUCAGUCAAUUUCGGCAUAUUUGACGAUUGCGUUGUUGUAAGUCUGUUCUGUUACGUGUCUUACGGCAACCUGAUGGAUGCUCGCUUGGAGCCCUGGGUGAGAGCUGUCAGACACACAGCAUAGUCUCACAAACUGUGUUCUUAAAUCUUGGUUGUAAUUUUCCCAUUAUUUUCUAAGAGGUUGUUGCAGGUAUGACAUCCAUGUCUUUAUAAGUUUAGCCUUAAAACCAGAAAACUUGUUUUAAUGAAAUAGGUCUCCUGGGCCCUUUUCCAACAUUUAAUUUUAUUUAAAUGAACGGAGUUUAAAAUAUGAACGACGAAUGUCCUGUUCCAUUGUACACAGACUAAAGUUCUCUAUUGGCUAUUCAAAAUAAAUAUAUAUUUCUAAAUUA